CCCUGCUAUCAUCCUAUUAGCUAUUCCACUAAAACAUCAACGCAACAGCGGUUGACAUCCCGUAUACAGCACAAGUCCAGUAUAACGUGCAUGCACGAUAACAUCCCCAAAGACGGGAAAUUAAAUUAGAACUCAAAAAUAAAAAAGAAAGAGAAAACCAUGGCACAGGAGCUGGGGGUUCCGUUGGAUCAACCAAGGAAACAGAAAAGUCAAAAACGGAGCAAAAAAAAGAAAAAGGAUGCGGCUUGCACAUCGAGAGUUGGGAUAACGAUCCAGCAUGCAAGCAUGCAAGCCCGAUCAGAUACAACUGGCGGGUGGAAAGUGCCAGAACAGCUUGACAGCUGUUCGAGCAGGUUGGCGACGUUGGGAAGACGAUGUGAUG
This 382-nucleotide small RNA is filed under the name Histoplasma ohiense. RNAcentral describes it as "hypothetical lncRNA". Lineage: Eukaryota; Fungi; Ascomycota; Eurotiomycetes; Onygenales; Ajellomycetaceae. The record is from RNAcentral.